Molecule: non-coding RNA, 405 nt
Organism: Schizosaccharomyces pombe (fission yeast)
Lineage: Eukaryota; Fungi; Ascomycota; Schizosaccharomycetes; Schizosaccharomycetales; Schizosaccharomycetaceae
Source: the annotation of a GenBank genome assembly
UUGAAUGCAUACCAUCUAAAAAGGGAAUCAACUCAUCCCUUGUACGUUCAGGACCUAAAGCGAGAGCAAUUGUCGAUAACCGUUCCAAAGCAUUGAGCCUAUAAGUAAUUUCAUCAUGCUUUAACAAUAGUCAGAGUUGAACAUAUCAGACGUAAAACAAUUUGUUACCAACCUUUAACUCAUCAAUCAAAACAGCAAUCGGAUACAAAUCGUUCACUUGCUAUAAAUAGUCGUGGUUAAUAAAUUGUAAAAGAGACAUUUUGUAACACACAUUCUCUGUUUGCAUUUUAUAUAAUAGAACAACUCGUUCUUAGCAAACAAGCAAAUAAAGUGGGUAGGAAGUUUUAAACUUUUCGAGGUGAAGAAGGAGUGUGUGUUACAGCGGACGCUACCAAAUUGAAACAG